RNAcentral lists this ribosomal RNA (460 nucleotides) under uncultured bacterium. RNAcentral's name for it is "partial 16S ribosomal RNA". It matches the Rfam family "Bacterial small subunit ribosomal RNA", at positions 338 to 795 of the family's 1533-position model. The record is from RNAcentral.
CCUACGGGAGGCAGCAGUGAGGAAUAUUGGUCAAUGGACGAGAGUCUGAACCAGCCAAGUAGCGUGAAGGAUGACUGCCCUAUGGGUUGUAAACUUCUUUUAUAUGGGAAUAAACUGUUCCACGUGUGGGAUUUUGUAUGUACCAUAUGAAUAAGGAUCGGCUAACUCCGUGCCAGCAGCCGCGGUAAUACGGAGGAUCCGAGCGUUAUCCGGAUUUAUUGGGUUUAAAGGGAGCGUAGGUGGAUUGUUAAGUCAGUUGUGAAAGUUUGCGGCUCAACCGUAAAAUUGCAGUUGAAACUGGCAGUCGUGAGUACAGUAGAGGUGGGCGGAAUUCGUGGUGUAGCGGUGAAAUGCUUAGAUAUCACGAAGAACUCCGAUUGCGAAGGCAGCUCACUGGACUGCAACUGACACUGAGGCUCGAAAGUGUGGGUAUCAAACAGGAUUAGAUACCCCAGUAGUC